RNAcentral lists this ribosomal RNA (440 nucleotides) under uncultured bacterium. RNAcentral's name for it is "partial 16S ribosomal RNA". It matches the Rfam family "Bacterial small subunit ribosomal RNA", at positions 338 to 795 of the family's 1533-position model. The record is from RNAcentral.
CCUACGGGGUGCAGCAGUGGGGAAUAUUGCACAAUGGGGGAAACCCUGAUGCAGCGACGCCGCGUGAGUGAAGAAGUAAUUCGUUACGUAAAGCUCUAUCAGCAGGGAAGAAAAUGACGGUACCUGAGUAAGAAGCCCCGGCUAACUACGUGCCAGCAGCCCCGGUAAUACGUAGGGGGCAAGCGUUAUCCGGAUUUACUGGGUGUAAAGGGAGCGUAGACGGUGCGGCAAGUCUGGAGUGAAAUGCCGGAGCUUAACUGCGGAACUGCUGUGGAAACUGGCGAACUUGAGUGAUGGAGGGGUAAGCGGAAUGCCUAGUGUAGCGGUGAAAUGCGUAGAUAUUGGGAGGAACACCGGUGGCGAAGGCGGCUUACUGGACCGGAACUGACGUUGAGGCUCGAAAGCGUGGGGAGCAAACAGGAUUAGAUACCCGGGUAGUC